RNAcentral lists this ribosomal RNA (878 nucleotides) under uncultured archaeon. RNAcentral's name for it is "bacterial SSU rRNA". It matches the Rfam family "Archaeal small subunit ribosomal RNA", at positions 114 to 997 of the family's 1478-position model. The record is from RNAcentral.
CUAUGGAGGGGGAUAACCCCGGGAAACUGGGGAUAAUACCCCAUAGGCUAUGAAUGCUGGAAUGCUUCGUAGUUGAAAGGUGAGCCGCCAUAGGAUGGGUCUGCGGCCGAUUAGGUAGUUGUUGGGGUAACGGCCCAACAAGCCUGUAAUCGGUACGGGUUGUGGGAGCAAGAGCCCGGAGAUGGAUUCUGAGACACGAAUCCAGGCCCUACGGGGCGCAGCAGGCGCGAAAACUUUACAAUGCGGGAAACCGUGAUAAGGGAACUCCGAGUGCCCGUUAAAUCGGGCUGUCCAUCAGUUUAAAAAACUGGUGAAGAAAGGGCCGGGCAAGACCGGUGCCAGCCGCCGCGGUAAUACCGGCGGCUCGAGUGGUGGCCACUAUUACUGGGCUUAAAGCGUUCGUAGCUGGUUUGUUAAGUCUCUGGGGAAAUCUUCCGGCUUAACCGGAAGGCGUCUCAGGGAUACUGGCAGACUAGGGACCGGAAGAGGUGAGGGGUACUCCAGGGGUAGGAGUGAAAUCCUGUAAUCCUUGGGGGACCACCUGUGGCGAAGGCGCCUCACCAGGACGGCUCCGACAGUGAGGGACGAAAGCUGGGGGAGCAAACCGGAUUAGAUACCCGGGUAGUCCCAGCCGUAAACGAUGUGCGUUAGGUGUAUCGGUGACCACGAGUCACCGAGGUGCCGAAGAGAAAUCGUGAAACGUACCGCCUGGGAAGUACGGUCGCAAGGCUGAAACUUAAAGGAAUUGGCGGGGGAGCACCACAACAGGUGGAGCCUGCGGUUUAAUCGGACUCAACGCCGGAAAACUCACCAGAUAAGACAGCUGAAUGAUAGUCGGGCUGAAGACUCUACUUGACUAGCUGAGAGGAGGUGCAUGG